Molecule: long non-coding RNA, 23116 nt
Filed under: Coffea arabica (coffee)
Lineage: Eukaryota; Viridiplantae; Streptophyta; Magnoliopsida; Gentianales; Rubiaceae
Description: long non-coding RNA (CARA_LNC004803)
Source: RNAcentral
UUUUUUUUUUUUUUAGUCGUCAAACAUGGCGUGGGCACGCCAAGAUUAGAGAGCAUCCACUGCCUUCGAGGGUCACCUUUCGCACUUUAACGCGUGCCCUCCUCGCGUGGGCACGCCAAGAUUCUACUUUCUGCCGGCGUCGCGAGAUGUUGAGAAUUUACCAACACGGCGCGGGCACGCCAUGUUUUACAAACAUCCUCUGCCCAUGGGACUUGGACUUAGACGCUUAACGCGUGCCCUCCUCGCGUGGGCACGCCAAGAUUACCUAUCCUGAUCAAAGUUAGAAAACAUCAAGAGUGACUAGUACCCACGUGAGAAACGACCUAAUUAAAUAAUUAAGCACUAAAACAACAAAAUUAACAAUUGGGGUGCCUCCCAAAAGCGCCUUUCUUUAACGUUUUUGGCUAGACGUUGUCCAAAACUUUGCUUAAACUAAGCAAAUCGAGUCCUCUAAGUGCAUCAUCUCCACCCGCUCAAUUGGAACACCUUCAUAAUAUGGCUUUAGACGGUGACCAUUCACUACAAAUUUCUUCUCAGUUUUCAAACUUUGGAUCUCGAUUGCACCAUAAUGAAAGACAUUAGUCACAACAAAAUGGCCAAUCCAACGAGAGCGUAAUUUACCUGGAAAUAAUUUCAAUUUGGAGUGGUACAGUAGAACUUUUUGCCCACACUCGAAUGUCUUCCUUGAGAUCUGUUGGUCAUGAAAAAUCUUAUUCCUCUCCUUAUAGAUUACCGCAUUCUCAUAGGCUUCAUUGCGAAUCUCUUCCAACUCCUGUAACUGUAACUUUCUUUGGAUUCCGCCCUCCUCAAUAUCCAUAUUGCAUUGUUUUACCGCCCAAAAUGCUCUAUGCUCGAAUUCCACUGGAAGAUGGCAAGGCUUACCAAAUACCAACCUAUAGGGAGACAUCCCUAUAGGUGUCUUGUAAGCGGUCCUGUAUGCCCACAAAGCAUCUUCAAACCUUGAACUCCAGUCCUUCCUAUCAGGGCGAACCAUCUUUUCCAAAAUAGACUUUAUUUCCCUAUUCGAGACUUCAGCCUGGCCAUUGGUCUGUGGAUGGUAGGAAGUGGAAACUUUAUGAAGUACACCAUAUCUCCUGAACAAAGCAGCAAUUGUCAUGUUGCAAAAAUGCGUCCCCCUAUCACUCACAACUGCCCGUGGCAUUCCAAAUCGCACAAAAAUGUUAGAUUUUAUGAAAUCUGCAACCACCUUAGAAUCAUUAGUGCGGGUGGCUUUUGCUUCCACCCACUUCGAGACAUAAUCCACUGCUAGUAAAAUGUAUAAAAAUACACAAGAAUUUGGGAAGGGACCCAUGAAAUCUAUACCCCAAGUAUCAAAAAUUUCAAUGAAAAGCAUGGGCACCUGUGGCAGUUGAUCCCUUCGGGAUAAAUUGCCUAUCCUCUGACAUUUAUCACACGUCUUACAAAACACAUAGGCAUCCUUAAACAAUGAAGGCCAAUAAAAUCCACUUUCUAAAAUCUUAUGAGCAGUUCUCCUGGGUCCAAAAUGACCUCCACAGGCAAAAGUAUGACAAAAAGCUAAAAUCGAUUGAAAUUCCAUUUCACUUACACAUCUCCUCAUCACCUGAUCCGCACACCUCUUCCACAGGUACGGGUCAUCCCAGAUAAAAUACUUGGCGUCGCUCUUCAAUUUAUCCCUCUUCGAUUUUGGCCAACCUGCAGGAAAAUUACCGGUUACCAAAUAAUUGACCAGAUCAGCAUACCAAGGCAAUUGAGAAUUUAAAGAAAAUAAAUGCUCUUCAGGGAAUGCAUCCUUCAAUGGUUCACUAUCCUCUCCAACGGGGAUACGACUCAAAUGGUCGGCUACUAAAUUCUCUGACCCUCUUUUAUCCCUUAUCUCCAGGUCAAAUUCCUGUAGGAGCAAUAUCCACCGUAUGAGCCUCGGUUUCGCAUCUUUCUUGGUCAUCAGGUAUCUCAAUGCUGCAUGAUCAGAAAAUACAAUCACUUUAGCACCUAACAAAUAUGACCUGAAUUUUUCUAAAGCAAAAAUAACUGCAAGAAGCUCCUUCUCAGUGGUGGAGUAAUUCAACUGGGCUCCAUUCAGGGCGCGGGAUGCAUAAUAGAUGACGUGAGCUGCCUUUCCUACUCGCUGCCCCAAUACAGCCCCUACAACAUGGUCACUAGCAUCGCACAUGAUCUCAAAUGGUAAAUUCCAGUUAGGGGGCUGGAUGAUUGGAGGUGAGGUCAACAAUUCCUUCAACUUGUCGAAGGCUCUCUCACACUUGUCAUCAAACUCGAAAGCUACAUCCUUUUGUAGAAGUUGGAACAACGGGGCUCCAAUUUUUGAAAAAUCCUUGAUGAACCUUCGGUAAAAACUUGCAUGUCCAAGAAAAGAACGCACCUCCCGCACAUUUGCGGGGUAAGGUAAUGCCGAUAUAAUGUCUAUUUUAGCCUUGUCAACGUCGAUGCCCUUAGACGAUACAACAUGACCUAAGACUAUCCCGUGGUCAACCAUAAAAUGACAUUUUUCCCAAUUAAGCACAAGAUUAGUCUCUAUACACCUUAUCAGGAUCAAUUUCAGGUUAUCUAGACAUGUAUCAAAUCUAUCACCAUACACACUGAAAUCAUCCAUAAAAACUUUAAUAAUUUUCUCCACAUAUUCUGAAAAAAUACUUACCAUACACCUCUGGAACGUUGCAGGCGCAUUGCACAACCCAAAUGGCAUUCGUCUAUAGGCAAAGGUCCCGAACGGGCACGUGAAGGUUGUCUUCUCUUGAUCCUCUGGGGCAAUUGCUAUCUGAAAGUAUCCUGAAAAUCCAUCCAAAAAACAAUAGUAAGCCCUACAAGACAAACGUUCAACCAUUUGGUCAAUGAAAGGGAGAGGGAAAUGGUCCUUUUUGGUGACGGUGUUUAGCCUACGGUAGUCUAUACAUUGCCUCCAUCCAGUGGGCUUGCGCACUGGCACGAGUUCACCCGUUUGGUUAGCUUCUACCGCCACUCCUGCCUUCUUUGGGACUACCUGGACCGGGUUCACCCACGGGCUGUCUGAUAUUGCAAAAAUGAUCCCCACAUCUAGCAAUUUUAAAAUCUCUUUCUUUACAACUUCCAUCAUGAGGGGGUUGAGCCUCCUCUGAGCCUGCCGAACAGGUUUAGCAUUCUCUUCCAGUCUAAUCCGGUGCAUACAGACGGCCGGGCUGAUCCCCUUAAUGUCUGCGAUUGUCCAACCUAUCGCCUCUUUAUGCUCUUUAAGGACCCGAAUCAGUUUCUCCUCUUGGGUUUUUGACAAUGCUGACGAAAUAAUCAUCGGGAGUGUCUCAUUGUCACCCAAAUACGCAUACUUCAGGUGCUCUGGUAGGGGUUUCAAUUCUAAAACAGGUGCCUGUACCACAGAUGGCAAUACCCUCUGGUGAGGUUCGGGAAUAAAAAUAGGCAAGACUUCAUACCUUUUUGUGGUGGUCGGCAAUGAGUGUAAUGCACCUACUGUGCAUUUUAGAUUCUCGCUCCACUCCACCUCAGGAGUUGUCUCCAACUCGAGGUGCUUGGUUAAAGCCACCUCCAACUCAUCCCUGCCAACAGUUUCAAACACUUCCUGCACUACAGGGUCAAUAGUAUUCACAGAGAAAACUGAGCUAAAGUUGGAGUUUGAGGGAUAUUUCAUGGUAUCGAAGAUAUUAAAAUACACAAUUUCCCCAUCAAACUCCAUGGAUAAGGUACCCUUAUUAACAUCAAUUUUUGUUUGUACUGUACUCAUAAAGGGUCUACCUAACAACAAAGGUGAGGGAUCGGGGGAGUGAUCAUCAUCCAUAUCAAGUACAUAAAAAUCAGCUGGAAACACUAAAUCAUUAACUUUCACCAACACAUCUUCAACCAACCCAUCAGGAUAUGCAUUAGUUCGGUCAGCUAAUUGAAUGAUUAUUCCAGUUUCUUUUAAUGGACCUAAUUUCAGAGAAGCAUAGAUAGAUUUAGGCAUGACAUUAAUUGAUGCUCCCAAAUCCAACAUGGCCCUUCUAAUCACAGUAUUACCUAUCCUACAGGGGAUAGUAAACAUACCUGGGUCCCCGCACUUGGGUGGAAGCUUCCUCUGCAGGACCGCUGACACAUUCUCCCCAACAAUGAUCCUUUCAUCUCCCCUCAAUCGCCUUCGGUUGACACACAAGUCCCUUAGGAACUUGGCAUAUUUUGGUACUUGUUUGAUGGCGUCUAAGAGGGAAAUAUUUAUCUCUACCUUGCGAAACACCUCCAAAAUCUCCUUCUCCUUAUCCUGCUUCUUCGAUUUUUCCAACCUGCUAGGGAAAGGAGGUGGUUUAGUUUUAACAGUAAUUAUUGGGUCUGGAAGUACCUUUGGAUCUCCACCAUUGCUGUCCUCCCUCUCAAGCUCAUUUUCAAUCUUUUCCUCGUCCUUAUCCUUAGGGAUCACAAGUUCAGGUCCCUGAAUUUCCUUCCCGCUCCUUAGGGUCAUUGCGCUCACGUUCUUCGGAUUUAAUUCAGGCUGAGACGGCAAUUUACCUUGGUUCUGGGAAUCCAAACGGUUAAUUGUUGUGACCCUUUGACUUAUCUGAUUCCUUAUGUCCUGCAUUUCGGAGUCCGUCCUUUGCUGAUUUUGCAUAAUGGUUGCCUCUGUCCUUUGCUGAUUUUGCGUCAUGGUUGCCAUCAUUUGUUUCAUCAUCUCUUCUAAAGAUGGGCCAGAGCUCUGGGGCGGAGGUGGUCGAGGUUGGUAUUGUUGCUGGUACCCUGGUUGCUUAUUUGGCACGAAGUUAGACUGCCUGUUCGGUGCAAAGUUGGGUUGCCUAUUUCCUCCAUAACUGAGGUUGGGAUGAUCUCUCCACCCGGGGUUGUAGGUACUUGAGUAAGGGUUGUACUGCUUUCUUGGCGCGGGCGCGUGGCCAGUCAUGUUCACCUGUUCUGCAGUUUCUUCCUGAAGCAUUGGGCACAUGUCUGCAGAGUGACCCAUACCAGUGCAAAUCCCGCACACCCUGGCCUGAGAUGCAUUCCCUACAGCCAGUUGCCUAACAAACGAGGUCAACUCAGUUAGCUGCUGCUGCAUAGAGGAUAUCUCUAUCUCAUUCACUUUACGUAUUGGGACGUCCUCUCUCGAACUGAAUUGUUGUGAAUUCUCUGCCAUCCCCUCUAUUAACUCCCGUGCUUCCUGAGGGGUUUUGUUCACCAGUGCCCCUCCACUUGCAGCAUCAAUUAUGCUCCUGUCUCUGAAAAGGAGCCCCUCAUAAAAAUACUGUAUGAGCAACUGCUCACUUAUUUGGUGUUGGGGGCACAUUCUGCACAACUUCUUGAACCAUUCCCAAUACUCAUAGAGUGACUCCCCUGGGUGCUGCUUGAUCCCGCAAAUUUCUUUCCUUAGACUCGCAGCCCUGGAUGCAGGAAAAUAUUUAUCUAAAAAUUUUUUCUUCAAUUGGUCCCACGUGGUGAUGCUACCUGGUGGUAGGUAGUAUAACCAGUCCUUUGCAGAGUCCUUCAAGGAAAAGGGAAAUGCCCUCAUUUUUAUCUGCUUUUCUAUAAUGCCCGGGGGCUUCAUACUAUUGCACACGACAUCAAAUUCCUGCAGAUGCUUAUACGGCUCCUCACCUGGUAAACCAUGAAAAAAGGGUAAAAGAGAAAUCAGACCAGAUUUUAACUCGAAUGAAGUGUUUUCACUCAAACUCGGGAAAGUAAUGCACAAAGGCUACUGAUUUAAAUUAGGGGCAGCCAACUCCCUUAAUGUUCGUGCAUUAGCCAUGGGGAUUUCUUCUUGCUCCGAGUUACUCGAAGUGUCACCAAAUGAAUCUGUUGGUUCAACUCCUGACUCAGGUCUCUGAGAUAUAGCACUGGAGUGCUCCUCUCUGAGCUGUCUGGUUUCCUUUCUCGUUCUACGCGCGGUCUUCUCUAUUUCAGGGUCAAAAAUCAAAUCACCUGUACGAGAAGACCGAGGCAUACACUAGAAAAAUACCAGAAAAUUAGAACAAAAAUGAAUUUAAAAAGAAACAAAUAAUAACGCCAGUCCCCGGCAACGACGCCAAAAAUUGACAGGUGCCGAACCUGUACAAUAAUAAAUACCUGCUCAAGCAAAAUAUAACUUCUGUAGACAGUGAUAAGCAGGGUCGAAUCCACAGGGACUAGUGAUAUUUGUUUCUUUUAAAAUUCCAAUUGGAAUAAGGGGGAUUUUAUCGGAGUUAAACUAAAAUCAAUUAAAUAAUUCACUGGAACAAAUAAUUAACUAGUACGAAUAUAAAAAGGAAUUAAAUCAAGAAUAUAUAAAUUCUAGCCAAGGAUACAACUACUCAGGCACAGUCCAAUUAUCCGAUCAUUGAUGCAAGGGAGGUUCACUUAAUGUAUUAAUAGGCUAGUUAUAGUCGUUGACGAAGUCUGACGACCAAUUUUUCCUUAAUUUAUUGAUAACCAAGGUACGACCGUUGAUUACCCCUAAUCAGAAAAUACUCCUAGGUACGACCAUAAGAAUUAAUUUUCCAAUUGCAUUAACAACUAGAAAAACCUAACCCUAAUCAAUAACACGCUACGAGUGUUAUUUAAACUAGAUUGCAUGCUCCCCUGAUGUGUAAACACACCAGUUGCCACUCAUAUUAAUCAAUCAAACAAUUACGGAUCUAAUUGACUAAAUUGGCACGAGAUUAAUAAAUCACAUUGAACAUCGGGCCCCUGACAUCCAAUUAAUAAGUAAAUCCCACGAGAACUCAAGCUGACAGCAUGCAAAUAUUAAUAAAUUGAGGAACACGUGAAAACUAAUUAGAUCUCACAGAACUUCGGGACUGCACCGUCGAGUUGACCCUUCACUAGAUUGAAGACUUAGCCACGCCGCAUAAUUAAAUCACCACACGAAUUAAAUGAUUGCAACGGCAUUGCCUUUUUACUAGAAAGCAAGGAAUAAAAGAUGUUUUCCCGUUGGGGAAUAUUGUCAAACACCUGGCGUGUGUCAGAGGCCAGUCAGAGAGAAAAGAAAGAAAACUAAAAACUGAACUAAAAGCUGUAACUAAAAGCCGUCCCCUUCUUCUGUAUGUUGUCUCCUUUUAAAGAACCAAAAGAGAGAUGACUAAAAGCUAUCUAAGUGGUCCCCACACAUGUGGACAAAGUCUCCAAAUUGUUUAUUGUUCCAAGUCUCUCUACGUUGCUUUCUUUGAGGAGCCCCAAAUGACUAAAUAUCUUUCACUAGCUUUGUGGUCCCCCACCAAUUCAAGGGCCCAAGGGUUGAAGCCCUUAGAAGUCUUCAUUUUCUCUAUAAAGUCCCUCCUUUUUGGUAGUUUUCUGUUUCAUUCCUGAAAUUAACUCCAGAUACCAAAUAGAAGUAGAUAUCACCAAUUAACACAAUAAAUAGCAGGGAUAAAAGGGGAAAUUAAUAAUAAAAUUACUAUCAAAUACUGCCCUAUCAGACCUCCCCUAAGGUUACUAAUCUUUUGCAAAUUCAGUCCAAACGAUUAAAAUAUUGUUUUAGGGAGUGAAAUUAGAAUUUUUUACCAAAUUUGUCCUUUGUACUACAUGUCCAACGAAUGACAAAAUACUACAAAUCAAUUAACAAUUAAUAAACUUUAAGGAGUAUAGUUUAUAGGCAAAUACGCAUUACCUAUUUAAAGUAUCGGCUCUUUAUGGGUAUUUUACUUUUAAACAUUUAAUUUAAUACAAAUAUUUACGCUCAAAUACAUAUUUGUAUUUACUUUCAAAUAUUUAAUUUUUGUUAAUAUAAAAACUACCAAUCUCUCUUCCGUAAAAAUAUUAAUAUAACACUUUUUCAAUUUUAGUUACAAACAUUUAUGUAUUUAAUAUAAAUUAUAUGAUUCACAAUAAAAUGCCCAUAAAGAGCCAAUACUUUACUCAUUUAAUGGAUGAAAGCCAUAAAGAAUUAAUACUUUAUGGGUCAUUUCUUUUUUUAAAAAAAUAUUUAAUUUAUAUUAAAUAAAUAACCUACCGAUUUCAUUUUUGCACAAAUAUUACUGUAACACUUUUUGAAUUUUAUUUACAAACAUUGAUAUAUUUAUCAUAAAUUAAAUGUUUGAAAGUAAAAUAUCCAUAAAAAGUCGAUACUUUAAAUGAGUAAUGCGUGUUUGCCCAUAAAGAGCCGGUAACUAUUUAAAGUACCGGUUUUUUACGAGUAUUUUACUUUCAAACAUUUAAUUUAAUACAAAUAUUUACGCUCAAAUACACAUUUGCAUUUACUUUCAAAUAUUUAAUUUUUGUUAAAUACAAAACCCACCAACCUCUCUUCCGUAAAAAUAUUAAUAUAACACUUUUUCAAUUUUAGUUACAAACAUUUAUGUAUUUAACAUAAACUAAAUGAUUCAGAAUAAAAUGCACAUAAAGAGCGAAUACUUUACUCAUGUAAUGGAUUAAAACCAUAAAAAAUUAAUACUUUAUGGGCCAUUUCUUUUUUUAAAAAAAAUAUUUAAUUUAUAUUAAAUAAAUAACCUACAGAUUUCCUUUUUGCAAGAAUAUUACUGUAACACUUUUUGAAUUUUACUUACAAAUAUUGAUAUAUUUAUCAUAAAUUAAAUGUUUGAAAGUAAAAUACCCGUAAAGAGUCGGUACUUUAAAUGAGUAAUGCGUGUUUGCCCAUAAAUUAUACUCCUUAAAGUUUAUUAAUUGUUAAUUGAUUUAUAAUACUUUGUCAGUCAUUGGAUAUGUAGCACAAAGGGCAAAUCUGGUACAAAAUUCUAAUUUCACUCCCUAAAAUAAUAUUUUAAUCAUUUGGACUAAAUUUGCAAAGGAUUAGUAACCUCAGGGGAGGUCAGUGUAAUUUUUCAAACCACAGAGGAGGUCAGUGCAAAUGUCAGAUACCUCAGGGGAGGUUUCUGCAAUUAUCCCUUUUCAUAAUUACAAUUCAACUGAUAAGAUUUUUUUCCGAUCUCUGUCGUAACAUCCGCAAUCAAUCUGACAAUUUUCGAACCAAUCUUAUGGUCCAAUCCUCACAAACUAGACACUUCAUUACCAAUCUUGUGGUCUAACUGGAUCAACUAAUUUCUUCGCAGUUGUUAGGCUUGGAUUUGAACCCAACGGUUGGUGGGAUAAAAUCCAAACCCAACAGCAGCAAUUUUUAUACUCUAAUUUUGAUAGCCAAAAACACCCACAAUUAACCCUUGUAAUCGGGUCAAGUCGUCAAUGUGUAUAGGCACCCCAAGAUCAAUUUCUUGAACCCAAAAUUCUGAUACCAAAUGUUGAUUGACAAAUUAAUUGUGAGGUGGACAAAUAAAGUGAUGGACUUGGUUGAAAUCAAUUGUGAGGUGGAUAAAUUAAUUGAAGGUUGUCGUACUACUAAAGUUGGUGCAGCUAUUAGUGUUGAAAAACUAAAGGAAAAAGUAUGGUGAUGUUGAAAACCUCAGAGGUAAAAAUUAUGAUUUUCUAGUUUUGCAAGAUUGUAUUAGUGACAUGAGUGAACUGAAUUAUGGAGCAUUGGAUGGAGUAUGGGUGAACAUAUUUGAACUUUUGGAUAGAAGUGAUCAAAACAAUUAAAUUGUUCAACAAGUAUAAGUUUUGUCCACUAGCACGUGUAAAGAUGAAAUUGAAAAUCUAUUGCAAGUUGGUGUUGAAUGUUGUUCAUAUUGCGACUGAAUUUUUCAUGGAGAUUCAAACUCGUGAUGGCAUUAGAGAUGACAAUAUCAAGAGUUUGGUUUAAGGGAGGCAAUAAAGGAAAUUAAACCAAAUUGCAUUUGGUUUCUUAAUUCUUUUUGGCGUCUUGUUUGUUUAGUUUCCAUAUUGGAUUAAGAAAUCUAAAAUCAGUUUCCAAGUAAGUUUCAAUUUACAAUUGUAUUUAUUUUAGGAAAUUUUGGAAUUUAUAAAUACUACCAGUCUAGUAGGUUAUUACUAGAAGAGUUGAGUUAAGUUGUAAGAGUACGUUUGAGAUAAAAUCUCAUAGUUAAGAUUUGUGAGUUGUCGUGAGCGAAAGGCUACGACUUUAUAUUAUUAUUAUUGAGUUUUGGAUUAAUAAAUUAUUGAGUUUUGUUGUGCGUUAAUUGUCCUCCUCUUCCCAUAUAUUUUUAUAUGUGCUAAAAUUGCUUCCGCCGUGAGCGUUUUUUUUUUUUUUGUGCCAACACUCUCUCUCUCUCUCCUCAUCGUUUUACUCUUUCACUUGUCAUUUAGUUUAACUAAUUGAACAUUUAGCCACACAGCAAUGUGAAAAACUGGGAAUCAUUCAAAUGCAGAGAAUUGAAAGACUAGAUUACUUACAGACAGUGGAAGUGAGAAAAGUUGCUGCUUCUCAAUCUUUUGGAGCAUACUAUGUAGAGGUUAACGGGAAGUUGAAAUUCAAACUUGUGAAGAAGAGUGACUUGGAAUUUAAAUAACUAAAAAUGCAGUCUUAUUACAUGCCUCUUGGUUUUACCAGACAAAAGAGACGUAAGGGAAACCUGGGCAAAAUGACAGACUACUUAUCCAAUAUUCUUGGAAAAGAUAAUCAGAUUAGGCAACCUUGAAACACUAGACAACCUUAUAAAAAAUCAUCUUGCAGUCUAAAUAAAAUCAAACAUUGGUUUUCUGGUAGCCUUCAGCAUUAAGGUGAUCUCACAAUCUUUUUUCUAAAUCUCUUCAAACAUACUGCUCAUCAACUUACUCAUUGAUCUCUAUCUGAAAAGGUUGGAGCGCUUGACCCAUUUGUUAGACUUUCACGUCCAGAUUGUUGCGGCUGAUCAUAACUCACCUGCAACAGGAUUUCAGCAAAGUAUUAAACCACAUGAUUGAUUAUCCAAAAAGAUCAGUCUUUAGAAAUAGUUAAAUUAUAAGCCAGCCAUGCAGAGUGUGCCACGGAAAAAAUAGACAGAUAUAAUGGACACAGGAUCUCGUCUGCUUUCAGAUAGGUAGAGAUAUUCAAACAAUUCCAACGUUAUAUUGUCCGGACUCUUUGGAAAUAGUGACAUUUUGUUUGGUUUAUCUAGAAUUCAGCAAUUAUUUGCCCUUUUACUUUGAAAAUUACCUGAGAGGCACAUUUUGGGGUUUCUCUCACUAGGGUUGCUGGACUAGGAAUGAUGCCUGACAUUCGUUCUUCUGCUAGAGUCCUUAACCUAUCAAGUUCAGGUAACACCACAGUACGAAGAUCUGGUCUAUCUUUACGCCUUAGUUCUGUGCAUUUAAGAGCUAACUUGGCAAAAUUCAGGGCCUCCUCUACUGGCCAGUCUGGAACAGCUGGGUCAAGCAUAUCAGCGAAUUUCCCCUUCUCAAUGGCCCUCUGAACAUGGUGAGUCAAACCCAUGGGAGGUUUUGCUGUAAUAAUUUGAAGAAGCAUGACUCCUAAUGAAUAAAUAUCCGAUUUUAUUCCAAGCAUACCAGUUUGCUGGUACUCGGGAUCUAUGUAACAGAAUGUUCCGGCUGUGGAUGUCAUAAGGUAUUGUGUUACAGUAUCAGCUACAGAAGGAGGGACAAGCCUUGCUAAACCAACAUCACCGAUCUUGCUUACAUAGUUUCGAUCAAGCAAAAUGUUGGCUGGUUUUAGAUCCCGGUGAACGAGUGGUUCUGGCUUUGUCUGGUGGAGGAAAAGGAGGCAAGUGCCAAUCUCUGCUGCUAUUCGGAACCUUAAUUGCCAAGGAAGCACUGGGGUCUGUCCUCGCCGGAAGAGACGAUCAUCUAAGCUGCCAUUUGGCAUGUACUCAUACACGAGGCAACCAUACUCUGGGCAUGCUCCUAGUAGGAGAACCAUGUUCGGAUGUCGUAUACAACUAAGAACUUCAACCUAUAUCAACAUAGUACAAAAGAAUAUGAGAAAGACAUCACUAGUGUGUUUCAGUAAAACUAUUUGUUGUAAUUUGAUUCCUUCAGAGGAUGUUAGUGCUUAAUUCUGGCAUUAGGGCCUGAAGAUUUAUCGAUUUCAUGCAUUAAAAUGUACGUACAGAUGCUGCAGAAGGUUGUGCAUCUUUAUCAAAUUUUGCUUGAAUCUGUUAUAUAUUUUCAGCAUGUUCGUAUUAUUUCAUUGGUCAGUAUAUGCAUGUUUCGUCCUUUUAAUUUUUGUUACAUAGCUGUAGUUGGAUGACUGAUGUUCUAAGGGUAGUCAAACAUGCCUAAGUAUAUUUAAGUCCCAUACCUCUUGCUGAAACUGUGCCCUUCCUUGAGAUGCGUCAGGACGUAGUACCUUUAUUGCAACAGGUGUAUGAUCUAGGUUACAUUUGUAGACUGGUCCAUAUCCACCUUCACCAAUUUUUCGAGACUCUGAGAAGUGAUCCGUUGCUGUUUCAAUUUCAUCUAUGGUGUAUCUCCGGUAUCUAACAUCACCAUGUGCUAGCGUAUGCAGUACUCUUUUUCUCUCCUCUUCUUCUCUGAGUGCCUUCAUUUCUGCAUUCUUUCUUUUUUGUGCUUCCAGUUCUGCAAUCCUCUGAGCUGCUUCAGCUGCCUCAAUGGCUACCUUACACUUGGCCUUUUCUUUUUCUGCAAUUGCUAGUGCUGCUUCCUCAGCUAAUCGUGCCUCUUCUAGCUUCUGCUGUUCCUCCAUUUUCCAACGUUGAAGCUCUAAUGCCUAGAGCAAAUAUUUUAAAUUUACUUUGGCCAUUUCCAAUUUGGCUGAUAAAAUUCUUAUAUCUUUGACUUCUUGUGUAUUUCGUGCAACGAAUGGAGAUCUUAUUGCACAAGGAGUUUGAAAAUUUUGAAUUGCAAAAGUGCUCACCUUCUGUUUUGCUAAGAGUGCUUCUUUGCAUGCUGUGCUAUACAUCUCCAUUGUCUGCUUGAGCUCUUGCUUGAGCCUUCUCAUCUCAGCUUCUACAUCCUCCUGUGCGUAAGAUACGCAGCUUAAGUCAUUGUUUAAUAAAUGCUCUAUUUAUCAUCGUUGCUUUGGAAAGGCCUAUGUUGUUAGUGGUGCAUCUUCUAGUAACUUUGAAGGUCCUGAAAACCUUCAUCUAUACCCCUUACCCCAGAUAAGAUUUCUUACCUUCUUUGAAGAAGUAAAAAUUUUCUCUUGGUCAUAUCAAACCACUGAAAAUAAAAAGCAGAAACCACAAGAACGAAGGCAAGGAAAAAAGCAAGUGAAAGAUGUAUGUUUGGAACAUUACCUGAUGUAAAUGUGAAUUAACGUAGAGAAGAAACCUUAGUUCUUAUUCCUGUCUGGAGGGUUUAAAUCUCGUAGUGGAGUGAAUGUUCAAUGGCUUACAAUAUCACACUAUAUCAAUGUUCAGUAAUCGACUACCAUAUAAGAAAUUAGUUGGGAAUAUUUUGUGUUGGAAGUUAGGCAUUGUGUUAAUUACACAAAAUCUCUUUCCUAAAAGGCCUGACUAACAAUCUUUGGUCUUGGUGUCUUGCGAUCUUCAUAUGACCAAUAACACUGAUCGGCCUUUAUAGUAUGAUGAUUACCUGAGUAAUUUCUAUGUCUUAUGCUAUUACCUUGAACUUGUUACACAAAGUGUGAAUUAAGUAGUUAUUGUCCAUUAGUAAAGCAUUUCAAGUUUAAAUCAUGCUUAAAGCUUGAAGUGGUUUUUGUUGUCUGCCAAGUCUUUCACAAACUUGAAUUCUACUCCUGUACUACAUUGUUUGUAAGAUUGGCUCAGAAACUUCAUCUGUAAAUCUCAUUGGGUCACUAAUGCUACUUCUGUAUGGUGGAGAAUAUGCAUGUAACACAAAUAAAUUUCUUUUUGUCCUUUGAAUUUUAUUUUUUUGUUGGAGAUUGAUAAGACAGUAUUCACUACUAACUUGGUUUCGCAAGACUACUUUAUUUUCGGUUGAUGAAUUAACAGUAUUGGGUAUCAAUGCGCAUACCUGACUCUGGCUGGAUGAUGACGACCAUGAUAUGCUGCCAUUUUCGUGUGUUCUGGAUGGAAAUGUACCAGAACCGCUUGUAUCAGGUGUCCUUGGCCCUGAGAAUGAUGAACCAAAAUUCGAUGUAUUCUCUGUUUCAGAGCCAUUUGAAAGACGAGGGGGAAAUGCCAUGUCCUGAAUGUCAGGUAAAGGGAACAAGUGAUCCAUGCUGGACCUGCCCGAACUGAUAAAUGAUAUGUCGCUAUCUGGCAAUGAGAAGUCUCCAGAUGACCUAUUCUGAGUUUUGCCUCUAGUAAAUGGUGACCUGAGCAAGGGUAGUAAGGUACGGUUACUGUAUGUCUUAGCCUUCAUUUGCUGGAAAUCAAUCAAAUGAUUUGUUUAUUCACUUUCAUCGCAUUUCUUUUGCAGGUAUUGGUUGAAAUGUGGGUUCCACACAACUUUUACCCAUGCAGAUUUAAGAAUUCUAAUGCAGGACCAAACAUCUUAAUGAUUUUGAAUGUGAGAUGCCUAAUACCGUCAUUCUGUUUGUUCCUUAUGUAGAAAGUGAAAAGCAGUCAUUUCUUGAUAUAUGCACAACUCACUUGAUUGAGUCCAUAUCUUCAGCCAGAGUUCGUGGGGCAAUCGGUGAUUUAUCAUGAGAAAAACCUGUUCAAGUUGAGUGAUGCAUUUAGUUCCUCUACCUGUACUAAAACCAUAAUUUAGACAUGGCAAAAUUGCAGAACCAGACCUCUUACUCCACUGCCAUGCAUCAGACGUGCAUCAGAAAGGACAGGAUUUGUCGUGCCUUGAUUUUGCCCUUGGCGAGGCGGUGGAUUUGGAACUGGACAGGAGGCAGCCCUUACUGAUGAGAGUUUUCCUUUUGAGAUGGUAUAAACAUUGCAAAAAUCUGGUGCCACCUUGGAAACAGUGGAAGCGACGUCUGUAGUCUUGAAUCUGCUGCGUCCAAAGAUUUGUUAGUAACGAGGUACAAAAAUAGCAUCACACUUAUGCUUUCAUCAGGGGAAAAGGGAAAUAGCAACACUAAUGCUGCUAGUCGAGUAGUUGCUAGAUGAUAAUAUUUCUACUAUCUUCAUAUUGUUUUGAAGAAUGGUUGAUUCAGUUAGACCAUACAAGUAGAGUGAGAUUGAAUUAAUGGAACUUUUUAAUUACUUUUGGUACCAACCCUGAAGUCACCUUCUUUGAACAUUUCUGCAGUGUGUGGUGUAGGCACCAGAUACAAGGUAAGAGUGAACUAUAUGGGUUCUAAUGCUUUCAACUGGCUUUUCUGACAAAUGAAAAGUAUUGCCUUUGCGUGUCUGCAUGCAUGUGCAUUGUGUGAGUGUUUAUGGUUAUAAAAAGCUCAUCAUGGCAUCUAUGGUUCUUGAUAUAGGUUUGAUUCUAGGAAUAGACCUGCAUUUUGAGGCUCUCUAACCAAAAUAGAAGUGAUUGUUAAUAAAAGAAAGGAAGAAGGAUCAAGUAUCUUGCAGAAAGUUACUUCUCUUAAAAGUUUCCAGCAUAGCUGAUCUUAAACAGAAACAGGUGUUCACAUCUGUAUGUAUCUCUGAAUUUAAUUAUUUGGAUAGUAAGAAAGUAGAUAAAUGGGGCAAAGAAGUAAUUUACCGAACAAAUGCACUCUUUGAUGGAGCACUAAGCACCAAAUUCUCAACGAAGUUUGCCCUGACAUAGUCAUAUAUGCCUUUUGCUAUGUCCAAAUCCUCAAUCAUGACUUCAUUAACUCGUAUCUGUUGCAAGAUAACUAGUCAAAUUCUAAGAGCUUGCUACCUAAACAUAAAAAGGAAAUUCAUGUUGAUCAGGUAAAGGCAUCCAAGAGGGGUUUUGGGUUUAAAGAACGGACUGAAAGAUAUCACAUGUUGAAUCAGGGAACUUAGAUGUGGGUUUUUCAUAAUCUUUUUAAUCGAUGAUUCUUGAGAAUGAAUGGUUAACUUUCUCUCUUGGACAAUUUUUGGGUUCAAUUACUAGGUCUUUUCUAAACUUAUGUAGGUAUUCUAUGAUUUACUUCUUUUUUUGCAGUACAUGAUGAAAUCCUAUUCUUUUCUUUCUUUUCACUUCUUGUAGCAAGUCAAGAAAAGAAAUAAGUAACCAGCAUAAUUCAGAACUUCAAAAUAUAUAGCAGAUCUUACAUCCUUGCGAGUGCAGAAGCAGCGGAAGGGAAGGAACAACUCCUUGGAUUGGCCAUCAGCAUCUUUAUAUGAUCUUUGAAUGCUAUCAUUAGCAUCAGCAAGAGCAAUGUGGCUCACCACUGCAACAAUGAUAAAAAUUUUGGAAUUCCUAAUGAGAUUUUCCAAGAUGAAUAUCGAAAAAUCUUACAACAUACAAGCAUGAAACGUAUGCUUGCAUAUUCGUCCAGUAUCUGUAAACCCCCGAGCAGAAACUGUUACCAUGCUGCAGACAUUAUUAAUACAUGCAGAGCAGGUAUCUUUGAGUUUUAAGCAUUGUGUCCAACAGCAUAGUUUGGACUGCAUGAUUAUCAGUCAGAAUUAAAUGUUGAGAAUUGCUUGUUUUCUUUGGAGUAUUGACCAUAAGCUUAACUUUCUCGAGCUAUUUGCCUUAUUCUUACAUUGUUUCUCUGCAGUUUCACAAAUUUGUUUGAAACUGAUACUGUAUUGUACUUUUAUGCAGUUAGGAUUGCAGCCUUACGACAUGAUGCAUUCUCACCAUAUGGACGUGAAAAGCUGGCAUAACAAAACAAUGAUGGACUGAUGGGUAGGUAUUUGUAUAGAGAUUCUAUUUCGAAUAAGUCCAUGCAUUGAGAAUUCAAGCACAUACAGAUACCAGAAUAAUUGUUUCAAAUGUUAUUGUGCAAACAAAAUCAGCAUCAGGGCAUUCAUCAUAGAAAGACUAAUAUGCAUUGACAAUUAUUAGACACAUAAAUCAGGACUUUGAUUGUAAGCGUCUAAUUAAUGCUGAAUUACAAACACCAAUAUGGAACACAAUAUGAAGAGUAGAAGAUAAAAAGAGAGAAUUACAUGAAGCAGAGGAAGGUUGUUUUUGUUUGACAUGAAUCAAUGUAACAUAUUUGCCUUUUCCCACAAGAUUAUCAACAGCCCAUUUCAAAGCAUAUUGGCUUCCUUUGUCUUUAUCUAUGGCCACGCAUACCAUUUCAGCAUUUCCUCUAGGAAUUGGCAUUUUGGUUCUGUAGCUAGGAUCAAUUCGAACACACCCAAACCCUUUGAGUUUUAUAAGAAUUCUUGCUUUUAUGCUUUUGUCAAAUGAGUUUCUAGACUUUCCUCUCCUUGUUUCUUGCAUUACCGAAGGCUAAACCAUUUGAAAAACCUCUUUUUAUAUCUUGGAGAGGCUCCAAGUGAUUUGGAAAUCUUAGACUCCUUUUUGACUCCCAAAGUCUCCUAGAUGAAAAGAGAUAAUUCAAAGUAUUUAGUUUUGCUUCUGGUAUUCUUUUUUCUUUUUGAGAGAUGACAGCAAAGACAUUUGAAAGUCAUCCUACAUUCCAGGAAUUUCUCAUUCCUAUCCCCCCUUGAAGCGGUUGACCAGGGAAUGGUAGAUGAUCCAACCCAUAUUUCAGAAAAAAGAAAAGAAAAGAAAGACAAGUAGUAGUGAAAAGACCAGUUCUGCAGAGUUUUCUUUGCCUGGUCCAAGGCCAAGCGUUGUAAAAGACAGACAAAGAUUGCAACAUUUUCUGAAGGACACAAGACAGGCAAGAUGCCUAACUAAUUGCCUAUUUUCAGAGGGAAAAAGGUUUCACCCUUGUCCUAGAAAAAAUAGCCAACUAAUUUACUUAUCUCAGAAAGGAAAUACAACUAAUUGUUUCUCCAAUUUUCUUGCUAUACGACCCCCUCUAGGUCCAAACAUGCUUUGUCUUUCCCUUCAAGGAAGCUUGAUGUUCAUUUCACACAGAAAAGGCAAAAUACCAUGGUAGGAGGAUGAACUCAAUUAGCUACUUAUUUAUUUCAAGGGAUCAAAAUAAAUGAUCCAAGUUUGGAAACCUCAUCAUCAUCAAAAAAAAAAAAAGAGUAUGGAAACCUAAACUAAUCAAUGCCAAAACUAGAAAAUACAUAUGUGUCAGAAUUUUUCAUGAUCUUUUUUUUUUUAAAUUCUUUUUAGCGUUGUCAAAACGUUAGCUCUACUACUUUGUAAUUUACUUGAUAAGUGGAUAUUCAUAGUUUGCCUCUGAUUAUAUGCUUGUGUUAUUGUGGUGUUUGUAGGAACUAAUGCAUCUUCGAUCUUUUCAUUUGCGUUUUGGCAUUAUAUCAAAUGAUAAAAGUACUAGAACAUUUCUUUGUUGCCAAGAUAGAUUUGUUCAAUGAGACAAAUCUGAUAUAACUGUCAUUCCCAUCCUUUACAAUUUUCACAUUUUUGAUAAUUUCUUACUGCAAACUUUAAGUACUAUGGCAUGGUUAAAAAAAAAUAUAGAUUAAGAAAGUGGUUCCUUCUUAAACAUAGGCAGUCCUUUGAUCAACAUAGAGAAAAAUGUAUAAUCUCAUUUUAUUUUAGAAAAUGGAAUGUGAUUAGAUUUAGACUUUUUUUUUUCUUUAGCUUAUUGAAAAGGGAAAAGCAGAAAAUUUGAUGCAUAUGCUGCACCUUUUCCUUUCUUUAUCUUUUUUUUUUUUGGUUUUUCGUGCAAUAAAUUGGCUACAUUAAGACAAUGCAAGAAAAUCAUGCUCAAUUAGCCAAAAAUUGUAUACAGCAAUAAGCCAAAACUUUAGAAAGAUAAAUAUGCAUAACUUGUCAUGAUACAACAAGUGUACCCAACAAAAAGAAUGUCAGCUUCUUGUUAACAAAUUACUCUAUGAUUAUCAACGAACUGGAGCUAGAUUGGAAAUGCUAGCAACUCUAGAAUAUACAAACCUUCAAAAUCUUGUUCAUUGGCAUGCAUUAAUCUGUUAACGAUUGCUCUAAGAUAAAUCCCAUUUUAUCAAGAAGCUUACAGUAUAUUGAAAACGGUACUAGACUAUAUACAUCAUGACAAGAACUAAUGCACUUUCCUGCCCAUUUUUCCAUUCUGAAAAAGGCCUUCCAAUUGAACUUCACCUCAAUGUAUAUUCUUCUUGUUAACAUCAUUGCCUUGUGAAGCCAAAUCUUCCAUUCCCACUGUACCUCGAAAAAUCAUCCGAUUUGUGUCCAAGACUUCCUUUGUAUGACAGAAAAAGCUUUCCCACUUAACCAUUCAUUGGAACAUUAAUGAAGUCCUCAGAUAACCCCCUUGAUGAGCGCAUGUCUGUUUCACUGGUAUAUGAAGAGUGGAAAUCAUCAACAUCAUCUCUUUCCUUUAUCUCUUCAAUCCUGUCGACUGCCUCCUUAAUGUCCCAUCUGUUGUCAAUUUCAGGCUCACAAAGAAUCAGUGCUAUCUUCAAUAGCUUCAUCAUUUCACCUUCACAGUGCUUAGUUCCUUGCAUAUCUUUGUCAAAAACCUCAACGGUCCACUCAUCCUUGACAACAGAAUGCACCCAAGUCGGCAAAUCGGUGUCACUUCCCUUACCUUGUUGCAAGAAGUUUGAUGGAAAUUUUCCUGUGAGAAGUUCAAGUAUCAAUACACCCAAGCUCCAGACAUCAGUUUUCUUGGUGAUGCGGCCAUUUUGCUUGAAUUCAGGUGACUUGUAUGCUAUCAUUUGGUCCCGUGCUUGUUCCAAGUUGACUACUGGAAGUAGUCCGUAGUCGGUGAGCAAUGGCUCAUUGUUUUCGUUAAGAAUAACAUUGGAGGAUUUGAGGUGACCGUGGGGUGCGAUCAGGCUCGGGAGCGAAUUGUAGAGAUACAGAAGGCCUUUAGAUACACCUUUGACAAUCUUCAAUCUGGUACGCCAAUCAGGGCUUGACAGGCCACGAGAUUUGUUACCUGGAAAUACAAGUUUCUGCUGUUUAGACCUCAGCACACGAGUGGCUUGAUUUCCUUUUUUUAACUUUUGGUUCUUCAGAAAUUACUUGCAUUAAUAUCUAUUACUCCUCGCCGACUGAGGAAUUCAAAGUUAGGAAGGCAAAAUUGUUAUGCAUAUUUUUGGUCAUUGAUGGAACAGAAAAGGUAAAACCACUUCUCAGGAAAGUAUUUUAGAUCCAACCAAAGAAGUCUAAUAUAGGGAGAAAUAAGUGAUCAACUAUGGCUAAAAACUGCAGAGAAAAGCAAUCUUCAUACUCAGAACUAAUAAAAGUUGCAUCAUGCAUAGUAAAUUUGAAUUAUGUAUACUUACCAUGAAGUUGAACAGCCAGGCUGACAUUUUCAACAUAGGUAGAAACUAUAAGUUUCUCCUCUUUCCUAUAGUAGAAGGCCACAAGUGGAAGCACAUUCGGAUGACUCAAUCUGCCUAACCUUCUCAUGUGCUCAUGGAAUUCUUCUUUGCCAACAUUGUUCAUUUGCCUAUACCUCUUCACAACCAUCACUGGUCCUGUAUUAAGGGCAGCUUUAUAGGUAGAUCCAAACAUUCCACUCCCUAAUACCUCAGCAGAGGCUUUGAGUAGAUCAGACAUGUCGAAUUUUCCAACAUCAUCCCUUAAGAAUGAAAGCUUGAUAUUCUGAUCACUCUUCUUGCCUUCUGAACCGCGAUCUGGUGACAUCCCUUUUUCCAAUCUGUCCAAAUCUUCAGAGGGAGGUUUGUUGUGACCUUGUGGAGCUGCUGCAGCUGCUGGUGCAUCUCCCAGUUGAGGUGCUUUCUUGCGCCGGCUGAGGAUGAUUAUAACAGCAACAAUUGCUCCCAAAGCUACCACAACAGCUAUUGCAACAAGUACUAUAGUUACAACAGAUAGCUUUCGCUCUGGGGGACCAGGACAUGGUUCCAAUGGUGCACCACAAAGGUCUGAAUUAUCUGUUCAUCAGUAGAAUUUAAUCUCUUGUAAGUUAAUCUGACAAUACCACUUACUGAUGGAUAGAUUUCAUCUUAGGUAUCUCGCGCUAAUCUGUAGAGGCUUUUUUUUCUUAAUGUGAGACAGAAGAAAAAAGUAAAAGACCUAGAAAUCAAGAGGAAAAAAAAAUAGAUCAUCAUAGUUAUAUGGUGUGGAAAGAUUUUCAAGAUAAAUAACCAAUUAUAAGCUUAAUAUCAGUUGCCCUGCUGGUAUUAUUUCACUUGGAUAUUUAAAUAUACGUUUAUAGUUCCAUCAUGGGACAAAGCUAACCACUUGGUCGAAUUGUAGUAAUGCCAUAAACCUUAAGGAUUAAAUUCUUCAUUGUAGCUGUGACAAUGUUUGUAUCCUGUUUUGGGACUUUAUUAUGGUAUUGUCUACCACCAUCGUCAAGUUUUGAACAUCCUUCUGAAAUAGGAGGCGUGACUAUCAUAUUAUAACAUCAUGGUACCAUAUUAAAGACAUAAGAAAUCAUUGAAAAACAGUUGUGCUAUUAAAUAAACAUAAAACAAUUUUUGAGAAAGAGACUCACCAGAAAAUGAAGCUGCUUUGAGGUUGCUCAGGCUGGCAGGAAUUUGACCCCCUAGGUGGUUGUGGGAGAAAUUCACAUUAAUCAAUCUUUCUUGAGUAAAAUCGGGAAUUUGACCUGAAAACUGAUUGCCAUCAAGCGUCAACUCCAUAAGCUUUGGCAAUGUUCCCAAGGAGGAUGGUAUUGGCCCUGAAAGCUGAUUGUUACUCAAAUGAAUCUUCUUAAUUGACAGCAUGCCUACAAAAGCAUCGGCUGGAAUCUCCCCUGAAAAUUUGUUAUUCGACAAAUAAAACGAUUUCAAGGCACCAAGUUUCUUCAUAUCCGGGAGAGGUCCUUCGAAAUCAUUAUUCAUGAAGCUGAGAGUCCUCAAACUCUUCAGCUGGCUAAGGGCAUCCUCAUUGAUAUCACCCUUCAACCCCAUAUUUUCAAGCUUCAAUCCCCAAACAUUCCCUUUAUCGCAAAGUACACCACUCCAAUUCGGCUGAUCACCCUUGCAUGAGGGUACUUUCGCGUCCCAAUUGGACAAUGCACCAGUAUUUUUCAGGGAAUCCUUGAACUGUAUAAGCAAAUCAGGCUCUGACAAACAGAUGCACGUAUGAACAAGCUGUAGAACAAUGGCUAGUAUGAGAAGACACCAUGAGGACUUGCAAAUCUUAGCCAUGGCGCGAGCAAAAUUGUAUCGUGACGCGCACUUGUGGUGUGCGCGCCCUUAGGGAGGGCUCCUGAGCAAAAGAUUGUCUUCUUUGUGUGCAGAAGGAGCUGGAGAAUGGAAUGAAGGUUGACAUGCAAAAAUGUAUGGGCAUAGGACUGGAAGGCAGGGAGGGGGAGGGAGAGAUAGGUGCCAAGAAUAGUGAAAGGCAGUGAGGAGCCGUGAAAACGCAUGAAUGGACAAAAAUGGAAAGAGGGCGUUUGUUGUUAUUGUUCAUGUUGACUAUGUCCUCUCUUUGCAUGCAUGGUGACAUGGGAGAGCUUUGCAUGAGAAAUUUGCGGUUUGCCUUUGAGCUUUGUUCAUGAAUAAAUUUUAUUCUUCACUUUGUUCUCCCCGUCGCUUCCCCCUUUUCAAUGUUAGUUGGGAUCAGAUUCACAGAUUUGUACAUAAUUUUCUGCAGUUCAAAGACUAACAUGCCUUUAUUCUCCAACCAAACUACUAUUUCAAAUUGAAUUAUCUCAUAAAACUUAAAAAAGAAAAAAAAAUCAGAUGCAUAUAGUAAUACAAAUAUCAUGUAAUUAGUAAGUCUUAAAUGGUUUAAGAGUUUGAGUAGAGGGCUAUAAGAAUAAAAAAGUUAGCUAGGAGUGAGGUAACACAUAAUUUUUUUCAAGGUUCCUGAUCUUUGCUUUAUCGAAAGUCACACUUAGAUAUACUUACUGAGAAACUAAUCAGUGUGCUGAUAGAUUGGCGAAACUAGGUGCUUAGUAAGAUACGAAUUUUGUAUGCUAUGAAAGUGUUUGGAAAUUUGCUUCCCUCGUUUUGUACCUAUAAUUAAAGUUUUUUCAAUAUAUACUCCCUUUUAUUACAAAAAAAAAUACAUAAUUUUUUUAAAAAAAUUUAUUGAGAGCAUCAGAAUUUUUUUUUUUUUCUCUUAUAGAACACCAAAUUAGAGGGGUUACUUGAAAGAAGCAGCCAUAAAUUGAACCUUUUGGUCUCUUUCCUUGAUGGUUUGCUUCAAUGUACUUUCUAAAUUGCUUCGUAUGAAGAAUUGCAUGCUUCAUAUUUCCAUAUAAGAACAAGAAAGAUGGCUUCGGCCUACUUAUUUGAGAUGCCAGGCUUGGCAAAGACACUUUGAAUUGCUGCCUAGACAAAUAAUAUUAAGAUUUACAUAUGACCUGUUUGCAUUUGCUCAUGUCUCUCCAUUCUACUAUUUUUGUUGCUUUUGCCUGAUAUUAUAAUACAUUUCUGCAACAGAGUAAGCACACAAUAACAGAGGCUUUCAAUUAAAGUACGUAGCACUAAAGAAGUGAAAAACAAAUAAUUAAAAUUGAGGCAAAUAAUUACAAUCAUUAUUCAUUACAACAUAUUUGUACUCAUGCAAACCUCAAAUCAAUGUAUUUUCAUAUAUAGGGCAAGUUUUGGCUAACUUGGGUUACAGUUGCUUCUUUUUGUUGAUAGCUCCAUUUGUGAGAACAAAAAGUUUUGGCUGAAGUUGAAAUGAGGACCAUAAGAUUGACCAUCUUGAUUUGCCAAUU